This 242-nucleotide ribosomal RNA is filed under the name uncultured bacterium. Its description in RNAcentral is "partial 16S ribosomal RNA". It matches the Rfam family "Bacterial small subunit ribosomal RNA", at positions 89 to 334 of the family's 1533-position model. The record is from RNAcentral.
CGGCGAGUGGCGAACGGGUGAGUAAUGCAUCGGAACGUGCCGAGUAAUGGGGGAUAACUGUCCGAAAGGAUAGCUAAUACCGCAUACGCUCUUUGGAGGAAAGCGGGGGACCUUAUGGCCUCGCGUUAUUCGAGCGGCCGAUGUCAGAUUAGCUAGUUGGUGGGGUAAAGGCCUACCAAGGCAAUGAUCUGUAGCGGGUCUGAGAGGAUGAUCCGCCACACUGGGACUGAGACACGGCCCAG